Lytechinus variegatus (green sea urchin) is the source of this 284-nucleotide long non-coding RNA. RefSeq lists it as uncharacterized. Lineage: Eukaryota; Metazoa; Echinodermata; Echinoidea; Temnopleuroida; Toxopneustidae. The transcript is spliced from 3 exons. The record is from RefSeq and is a predicted model, not a curated record.
ACAGGGUCAAUGUGAGGGAUAUGAUAUUCUGAUCGGCGAUUUUAUCACUCUGGAGAUUUUCCCGCCCAAUCCCGACCCAUUUCCCGCUCCUGUCGUGUUUCAUUUCACACCGGAACGAGUAGUUACAUUCCCAAACGAGACAGUGUGUGUAUGGCUAGACGAGGAAGCGAUUAACCAUGACAACAACAUCUGGAGAACGAGUGGGUGUGUCACCAUCAACGGAACGGAAUCCGGAACCAGAUGCGAAUGUGACCAUCUGACUAGCUUUAGUAUUCUUAUGAAAG